RNAcentral lists this long non-coding RNA (476 nucleotides) under Homo sapiens (human). RNAcentral's name for it is "non-protein coding lnc-RBP5-1:3". Lineage: Eukaryota; Metazoa; Chordata; Mammalia; Primates; Hominidae. The record is from RNAcentral.
UUUCCACAGCCCCUUCCAUCCACAGAUCCGUGCUGCGUGCCCUCUGGGAAGGGUGAAGUAAAACCCUCAGUCUGAGCCUGAGAAAUCCUGGCAUUUGUAGCCCAGGGCUGCGAGGAAGCCACAGGGCGGUCCGCAGGGCGGUAUCGAGGCUCUGGGACCCAAGGAGGGGCAGGACGUCGUGCACCCCUCGCGCACGCACCUGUCGGGACCGGCCGCCUCCUCCUGCCUACCUGUCCUGCCUCCUUCGCCCCGAAUUUCACCUUAAACCAUGAUGAACCAAGCCCAGUGGAUUCUGAAGCCCGGGACGAUGGCAGCCAGACCAGCCUCAGGUGUCUCCCAGGAAAGACUGCCCCUCAGGCCCUGGGACGGUUCCCAAGCCUGCCAGAAAUGAGGUGGAGGCCAACACUGACCUUUGGAUGGCUGAGUUUUGGAUGACUGACAGCCCCAGAUCCUGCUCCAGGUUCCUUCCUCAGGAA